AAGGAUUUAAGUUAAAUCUAAACUAAUAGCCUUCAAAGCUGUAAAUAGAACGGGCGUUCUAAGCCUUA
RNAcentral lists this transfer RNA (68 nucleotides) under Tenebrionoidea sp. 2 KM-2017. Its description in RNAcentral is "tRNA-Trp". Lineage: Eukaryota; Metazoa; Arthropoda; Insecta; Coleoptera. The record is from RNAcentral.